GUGCAGCCAUCUACUUUUUAUAAGUCUAUCUAUGUAUCUAUCUAUCUAUCUAUCUAUCUAUAUAUAGCUAUAUAUAUAUAUAUAUAUAUAUAUAUAGAGAGAGAGAGAGAGAGAGAUAGACUUAUAAAAAGUAGAUGGCUGCACUAUUUUA
Pelobates cultripes (western spadefoot toad) is the source of this 151-nucleotide non-coding RNA. The record is from the annotation of a GenBank genome assembly. NCBI's taxonomy places the organism in Eukaryota, Metazoa, Chordata, Amphibia, Anura, Pelobatidae.